Molecule: ribosomal RNA, 825 nt
Filed under: Lactiplantibacillus plantarum
Lineage: Bacteria; Bacillati; Bacillota; Bacilli; Lactobacillales; Lactobacillaceae
Description: bacterial SSU rRNA
Rfam family: Bacterial small subunit ribosomal RNA
Source: RNAcentral
ACACGGCCCAAACUCCUACGGGAGGCAGCAGUAGGGAAUCUUCCACAAUGGACGAAAGUCUGAUGGAGCAACGCCGCGUGAGUGAAGAAGGGUUUCGGCUCGUAAAACUCUGUUGUUAAAGAAGAACAUAUCUGAGAGUAACUGUUCAGGUAUUGACGGUAUUUAACCAGAAAGCCACGGCUAACUACGUGCCAGCAGCCGCGGUAAUACGUAGGUGGCAAGCGUUGUCCGGAUUUAUUGGGCGUAAAGCGAGCGCAGGCGGUUUUUUAAGUCUGAUGUGAAAGCCUUCGGCUCAACCGAAGAAGUGCAUCGGAAACUGGGAAACUUGAGUGCAGAAGAGGACAGUGGAACUCCAUGUGUAGCGGUGAAAUGCGUAGAUAUAUGGAAGAACACCAGUGGCGAAGGCGGCUGUCUGGUCUGUAACUGACGCUGAGGCUCGAAAGUAUGGGUAGCAAACAGGAUUAGAUACCCUGGUAGUCCAUACCGUAAACGAUGAAUGCUAAGUGUUGGAGGGUUUCCGCCCUUCAGUGCUGCAGCUAACGCAUUAAGCAUUCCGCCUGGGGAGUACGGCCGCAAGGCUGAAACUCAAAGGAAUUGACGGGGGCCCGCACAAGCGGUGGAGCAUGUGGUUUAAUUCGAAGCUACGCGAAGAACCUUACCAGGUCUUGACAUACUAUGCAAAUCUAAGAGAUUAGACGUUCCCUUCGGGGACAUGGAUACAGGUGGUGCAUGGUUGUCGUCAGCUCGUGUCGUGAGAUGUUGGGUUAAGUCCCGCAACGAGCGCAACCCUUAUUAUCAGUUGCCAGCAUUAAGUUGGGCACUCUG